UGCCAGACUCCUACGGGAGGCAGCAGUGGGGGAUAUUGCACAAUGGGGGAAACCCUGAUGCAGCGACGCCGCGUGAGUGAAGAAGUAAUUCGUUACGUAAAGCUCUAUCAGCAGGGAAGAAAAUGACGGUACCUGACUAAGAAGCCCCGGCUAACUACGCGCCAGCAGCCGCGGUAAUACGUAGGGGGCAAGCGUUAUCCGGAUUUACUGGGUGUAAAGGGAGCGUAGACGGUUCUGCAAGCCAGAUGUGAAAGCCCGGGGCUCAACCCCGGGACUGCUCUGGAAACUGUGCGGCUAGAGUACUGGAGGGGCAGGCGGAAUUCCUAGUGUAGCGGUGAAAUGCGUAGAUAUUAGGAGGAACACCAGUGGCGAAGGCGGCCUGCUGGACAGUAACUGACGUUGAGGCUCGAAAGCGUGGGGAGCAAACAGGAUUAGAUACCCCAGUAUU
RNAcentral lists this ribosomal RNA (448 nucleotides) under uncultured bacterium. Its description in RNAcentral is "bacterial SSU rRNA". It matches the Rfam family "Bacterial small subunit ribosomal RNA", at positions 329 to 794 of the family's 1533-position model. The record is from RNAcentral.